Pelobates cultripes (western spadefoot toad) is the source of this 507-nucleotide non-coding RNA. The record is from the annotation of a GenBank genome assembly. NCBI's taxonomy places the organism in Eukaryota, Metazoa, Chordata, Amphibia, Anura, Pelobatidae.
CCGUAAUCCUAGUGCUUAUUUGUGCUUGAUGUUGCUCUUCUGUGAAAAUCCCUUAUUACAUUUUCACCUUGGCAUAUGAUGUCUUAGUCUAUUAGACAAUUCUUAGCAGUUGAUUGUUCCCAUAAACAGUGUAAAAUAUUAUAUAACAAUAUAAUAUGGCUUUCAAAGUGCAUAUAUUUAGUGGGUCAAGAAUGUCUGGGACUUGCUGUAGAUGUGCAUUGUUCUGCUCCAUACAGAAAUCUAGCAAAUUUUGUGAGAAGGUAGCAUAUUUGGUGCCAAAGUUAUCACAGUUCUGGAAUUACACUUGCUCUUCUGAUCUAGAAGGGUCGAGUCUUCUUACUGGGACAACCUGAGUGGCUUUACAACAUCCGGAACAUAUGUAUUUAAGAAAACAUAAAUAAGCACUGCCAGAUAUGACAACUGUCACAAUGAUAAUCACUGUAGCACCAAACGCUGGAGAGACCGUGUCCUCUAAAAUAGAAUGAAGUCCUCCAUGUGUGGUAAGCG